UGUGAGAGCGAGCCUUGCUCGCGAUAGCGGUGUGUCAGCGGACACUGGUUUCACUGACAUACCGCUAUCGCGAGCAGGCUCGCUCCCACA
Molecule: unclassified non-coding RNA, 90 nt
Filed under: Pseudomonas mediterranea
Lineage: Bacteria; Pseudomonadati; Pseudomonadota; Gammaproteobacteria; Pseudomonadales; Pseudomonadaceae
Source: RNAcentral